ACCAAAACACAAAGGUGAAAAUAAAACACUAACAAUGCCUUUUACUAAAACAACCCAAAAGCAAUAAAACACAAUGCAAGCUUUCCAAGUUAUUGGGAACAUCACUAGGCAAAAAUGGUGAAUUAAAAAUAAUUGGAGAGGUAAGUGGUUGCUGUUAUAGCCUUGAAAUCCUUGGCUGCUUUACUGACAUCUCAUCCCCCUUCUCUUCUGCUCCCUUUCCUUUUACUUCAGCUGCCUGCCCUGAAGGACAAGACAGUUGUGUUUCAUCUGGAAGCAUCUUUCUGGCCUAUUAAGAUGCUGCUGCUACCACAGCGGCUGCUAUGUGUGUUUGCAUGCACACACACACACACACACACACGAAUGCGUGUAAAAACCUCCCUUCCUCCCUCCCUCCCGCCUUCCUUUCCUCCCUCUCUCAUUGCACCAUCUGUCGUUCUUGCUCUCUUCUCGCCUCUGCUUCCAGGCGCCAGUCUCCUGUCCCCAUUUCCCCUUCCUGCGCAUCAUCAUGCUGGACAUCUUCAUUCUCAUGUUUUUUGCCAUUAUAGGGCUGGUGGUCUUAUCCUACAUCAUCUACAUGUUGUAGCAUCUCCGCUUGCACCUGAUGGAAGACAGCUAAACAAGGAGGAAAGCGUUCCCUUCCCCAUUUAAGGCAGCAGGACUGAAGUCUGGGAUUUCCAAGUCUCCCUGGUUGACGGACUAACUGAUGGGAAACCCCACCCUGGUUUACAGUGAUGUUUACCUCUCAACAGCAUGGUGCCCCGACUGUUCUAGAGAAAGGUUAACCCUUUGCCAAGAGGAUCGGCAAAGAGGAGAGUGAUUCAGCAGAAUGCCUUGAAGAAGUCUUGUCAGCUUUCAAAAGACCUGAACUGGGAAUGCAUCAGAAAAACCAGUUAACAACCAGCAACGAGAUGGACACACGCUGAGAGAAUAGGACAGGAUGGUGGUGAGGGGAAGUCGUUGCCUCUGCUGUCCUCCAAUGAAAGCAAGAUUGAUUUUUCUGUAUGUCUUAGAUACACAAUCUUUACAUGGAGAAAAUAUUAUUUUCUGCUAUUUUAAAGUUUUAGAUUAUAGAACAUUGGCAAAGGCCCAGUGGAAGAGGGAAAGGAAACAGACUGAUCUCUAACUGACCUAAUGUUCACUACUCUGUGAAGUACCAGCACAGAUGAUAUAGUUAGAUUGGCUGUAGUAGAUUCAGGGAAAGCCUGCUUGGAGGGACAAGGGCUAUGUAUUCGAAACCCCACAUAUAUAUCCCACUGAAAAAUUAUGUACCAGACACUGUGCAUCUGAAGGUGCAGCUUUAUGCUGCUACUCCUAUCAAUCCAAAUGUUUAUUUAUGUUUUUUUAAAGAAAGGUUUUGAACAAAA
Anolis sagrei ordinatus is the source of this 1364-nucleotide non-coding RNA. Lineage: Eukaryota; Metazoa; Chordata; Lepidosauria; Squamata; Anolidae. The record is from RefSeq and is a predicted model, not a curated record.